GCCAUAUCACGUUGAAACACCGAUUCCCUUAUGAUCACCGAAGUUAAACAACGUCGAGCAUGGUCAGUACCUAGAUGGGUGACUGUUUGGGAAUACUAGAUGCGGUAA
This is a non-coding RNA of Acanthosepion pharaonis, 108 nucleotides long. NCBI's taxonomy places the organism in Eukaryota, Metazoa, Mollusca, Cephalopoda, Sepiida, Sepiidae. The record is from the annotation of a GenBank genome assembly.